Molecule: non-coding RNA, 45 nt
Organism: Schistosoma mansoni
Lineage: Eukaryota; Metazoa; Platyhelminthes; Trematoda; Strigeidida; Schistosomatidae
Source: Rfam
AUCUAGCUGACGAGUCCCAAACAGGACGAAACGCGCGUUCUGGAU